This 201-nucleotide unclassified non-coding RNA is filed under the name Hevea brasiliensis (rubber tree). Lineage: Eukaryota; Viridiplantae; Streptophyta; Magnoliopsida; Malpighiales; Euphorbiaceae. The record is from RNAcentral.
UAAUGAGCUCAUUAGGAGGAUGAACUAGAAUUUGUUCCUGAGUUCUAUGUUGUUUCUGAAUUUAGUCCCUAAGUUUACCUUGAUUUUGGCAAGAGUAGUAUUGAGUAACAUUGAGUUUGCAGUUUUGCUAAACUAUUUAGUUGACUUUGCAGCUCUGCUUAUUUUCCUGUUUUCUGUUUAUGUCUUCAAACAAGAUUUGUG